GGCGCCGUCGCCAAGCGGUAAGGCAGAGGUCUGCAAAACCUCCAUCCCCGGUUCGAUUCCGGGCGGCGCCUCCA
RNAcentral lists this transfer RNA (74 nucleotides) under Acidobacteriota bacterium. RNAcentral's name for it is "Acidobacteria bacterium (freshwater metagenome) tRNA-Cys". It matches the Rfam family "tRNA". From Rfam's summary of the family: Transfer RNA (tRNA) molecules are approximately 80 nucleotides in length. Their secondary structure includes four short double-helical elements and three loops (D, anti-codon, and T loops). RNAcentral also lists the same sequence under 3 other names. Lineage: Bacteria; Pseudomonadati; Acidobacteriota. The record is from RNAcentral.